AUUGAACGCUGGCGGCAGGCCUAACACAUGCAAGUCGAGCGGAUGAAGGGAGCUUGCUCCUGGAUUCAGCGGCGGACGGGUGAGUAAUGCCUAGGAAUCUGCCUGGUAGUGGGGGAUAACGUCCGGAAACGGGCGCUAAUACCGCAUACGUCCUGCGGGAGAAAGUGGGGGAUCUUCGGACCUCACGCCAUCAGAUGAGCCUAGGUCGGAUUAGCUAGUUGGUGGGGUAAAGGCCUACCAAGGCGACGAUCCGUAACUGGUCUGAGAGGAUGAUCAGUCACACUGGAACUGAGACACGGUCCAGACUCCUACGGGAGGCAGCAGUGGGGAAUAUUGGACAAUGGGCGAAAGCCUGAUCCAGCCAUGCCGCGUGUGUGAAGAAGGUCUUCGGAUUGUAAAGCACUUUAAGUUGGGAGGAAGGGCAGUAAGUUAAUACCUUGCUGUUUUGACGUUACCAACAGAAUAAGCACCGGCUAACUUCGUG
RNAcentral lists this ribosomal RNA (484 nucleotides) under uncultured bacterium. RNAcentral describes it as "partial 16S ribosomal RNA". It matches the Rfam family "Bacterial small subunit ribosomal RNA", at positions 30 to 507 of the family's 1533-position model. The record is from RNAcentral.